GCGAACGCUGGCGGAAGGCCUAACACAUGCCAGUCGCACGGAUCCUUCGGGAUUAGUGGCGGACGGGUGAGUAACACGUGGGAACGUGCCCUUUGGUUCGGAACAACUCAGGGAAACUUGAGCUAAUACCGGAUGUGCCCUUCGGGGGAAAGAUUUAUCGCCAUUGGAGCGGCCCGCGUCUGAUUAGCUAGUUGGUGAGGUAACGGCCCACCAAGGCGACGAUCAGUAGCUGGUCUGAGAGGAUGAUCAGCCACACUGGGACUGAGACACGGCCCAGACUCCUACGGGAGGCAGCAGUGGGGAAUCUUGCGCAAUGGGCGAAAGCCUGACGCAGCCAUGCCGCGUGAAUGAUGAAGGUCUUAGGAUUGUAAAAUUCUUUCAGCGGGGACGAUAAUGACGGUACCCGCAGAAGAAGCUCCGGCUAACUUCGUG
RNAcentral lists this ribosomal RNA (432 nucleotides) under uncultured bacterium. Its description in RNAcentral is "partial 16S ribosomal RNA". It matches the Rfam family "Bacterial small subunit ribosomal RNA", at positions 29 to 507 of the family's 1533-position model. The record is from RNAcentral.